This 110-nucleotide microRNA precursor is filed under the name Mus pahari (shrew mouse). RNAcentral's name for it is "miRNA (MGP_PahariEiJ_G0006920.1)". Lineage: Eukaryota; Metazoa; Chordata; Mammalia; Rodentia; Muridae. The record is from RNAcentral.
UUUUGGUGUCCGGUGCUGAGUACUUGAGGCAGUAUUGCAUCCCUGAGAGUGGAAUGACUCCUUGUGGGGUUGGUCCUGGUCUGGGUGCAAACAGUUUUCAUGUUCAAAGA